UACGUAGAAUCCAAGCGUUUGUCCGGAUUUACUGGGUGUAAAGGGUGCGCAGGCGGACUGGUAAGUCUGUGGUGAAAUCUCGCCGCUUAACGGCGAAACUGCCUUAGAUACUAUCAGUCUUGAAUAAGCGAGAGAUCCGUGGAAUUCCGAGUGUAGCAGUGAAAUGUGUAGAUAUUCGGAAGAACACCAGAGGCGAAGGCAGCGGGUUGGCGCUUUAUUGACGCUCAGGCACGAAAGCAUGGGGGAUCAAACAGGG
RNAcentral lists this ribosomal RNA (256 nucleotides) under uncultured bacterium. Its description in RNAcentral is "partial 16S ribosomal RNA". It matches the Rfam family "Bacterial small subunit ribosomal RNA", at positions 524 to 777 of the family's 1533-position model. The record is from RNAcentral.